RNAcentral lists this ribosomal RNA (301 nucleotides) under uncultured bacterium. RNAcentral describes it as "partial 16S ribosomal RNA". It matches the Rfam family "Bacterial small subunit ribosomal RNA", at positions 512 to 810 of the family's 1533-position model. The record is from RNAcentral.
CAGUCACGGGAAAACGGAGGGUGCAAGCGUUAAUCGGAAUUACUGGGCGUAAAGCGUGCGUAGGUGGUGGUUUAAGUCCGUUGUGAAAGCCCUGGGCUCAACCUGGGAAUUGCAGUGGAUACUGGGUCACUAGAGUGUGGUAGAGGAUAGUGGAAUUUCCGGUGUAGCAGUGAAAUGCGUAGAGAUCGGAAGGAACAUCUGUGGCGAAGGCGACUAUCUGGGCCAACACUGACACUGAGGCACGAAAGCGUGGGGAGCAAACAGGAUUAGAUACCCCCGUAGUCCCUGUCUCUUAUACACA